Molecule: ribosomal RNA, 495 nt
Filed under: uncultured bacterium
Lineage: Bacteria
Description: partial 16S ribosomal RNA
Rfam family: Bacterial small subunit ribosomal RNA
Source: RNAcentral
GACGAACGCUGGCGGCGUGCCUAAUACAUGCAAGUAGAACGCUGAAGGAGGAGCUUGCUCUUCUGGAUGAGUUGCGAACGGGUGAGUAACGCGUAGGUAACCUGCCUGGUAGCGGGGGAUAACUAUUGGAAACGAUAGCUAAUACCGCAUAAGAGUAGAUGUUGCAUGACAUUUGCUUAAAAGGUGCAAUUGCAUCACUACCAGAUGGACCUGCGUUGUAUUAGCUAGUUGGUGGGGUAACGGCUCACCAAGGCGACGAUACAUAGCCGACCUGAGAGGGUGAUCGGCCACACUGGGACUGAGACACGGCCCAGACUCCUACGGGAGGCAGCAGUAGGGAAUCUUCGGCAAUGGACGGAAGUCUGACCGAGCAACGCCGCGUGAGUGAAGAAGGUUUUCGGAUCGUAAAGCUCUGUUGUAAGAGAGGAACGAGUGUGAGAGUGGAAAGUUCACACUGUGACGGUAUCUUACCAGAAAGGGACGGCUAACUACGUG